Molecule: ribosomal RNA, 886 nt
Filed under: uncultured Actinomycetes bacterium
Lineage: Bacteria; Bacillati; Actinomycetota; Actinomycetes
Description: bacterial SSU rRNA
Rfam family: Bacterial small subunit ribosomal RNA
Source: RNAcentral
AGUGGGUACGGGCAGACUAGAGUGCGGUAGGGGAGAUUGGAAUUCCUGGUGUAGCGGUGGAAUGCGCAGAUAUCAGGAGGAACACCGAUGGCGAAGGCAGAUCUCUGGGCCGUAACCGACGCUGAGGAGCGAAAGCAUGGGGAGCGAACAGGAUUAGAUACCCUGGUAGUCCAUGCCGUAAACGUUGGGAACUAGAUGUAGGGUCCAUUCCACGGAUUCUGUGUCGCAGCUAACGCAUUAAGUUCCCCGCCUGGGGAGUACGGCCGCAAGGCUAGAACUCAAAGGAAUUGACGGGGGCCCGCACAAGCGGCGGAGCAUGCGGAUUAAUUCGAUGCAACGCGAAGAACCUUACCAAGGCUUGACAUAUACCGGAAAAGUUCAGAAAUGUUCUCCCCGCAAGGUCGGUAUACAGGUGGUGCAUGGUUGUCGUCAGCUCGUGUCGUGAGAUGUUGGGUUAAGUCCCGCAACGAGCGCAACCCUCGUUCUUUGUUGCCAGCACGUAAUGGUGGGAACUCAAAGGAGACUGCCGGGGUCAACUCGGAGGAAGGUGGGGAUGACGUCAAAUCAUCAUGCCCCUUAUGUCUUGGGCUUCACGCAUGCUACAAUGGCCGGUACAAAGGGCUGCAAUACCGCAAGGUGGAGCGAAUCCCAAAAAGCCGGUCUCAGUUCGGAUUGAGGUCUGCAACUCGACCUCAUGAAGUCGGAGUCGCUAGUAAUCGCAGAUCAGCAACGCUGCGGUGAAUACGUUCCCGGGCCUUGUACACACCGCCCGUCAAGUCAUGAAAGUCGGUAACACCCGAAGCCAGUGGCCCAACCGCAAGGAGGGAGCUGUCGAAGGUGGGAUCGGUAAUUAGGACUAAGUCGUAACAAGGUACCAAUCCCGCGG